GUUUAGGGAACUUUAAAGUUGAGAUUAGUUCAAAUUAAAUUUCAUUUUUAAGUUCAGCAACUUAUUAUUGUGUUGUCCUCCAUGUGGAGGGGGUGAAAUUCCUUAGUAGUGGAUGACGAAUUUUUUGUAAAUAAAGUGAAGAUUAAGUGGUUUAGUUUAAGGGGUGCCUGAGAAUGCUUUUUUUUGGAGGAUGUAAUGUUAUUUUUGUCAUUGGAAUUUCAACUGUAGAAUAAAGUGUGACUCACUUAAUUGAAUAUAAGACACGGGCUUGUCCAAUGAGACUAGGAGUCUUCUACCUAGGUCCUUCGAUGGAAAUAAUGAAGUGGAAGGGCUCUAAUAUUAUGUUUAGACCCCUUCCUUUGGGGUAGAUGAACAACUACAUUAGACUCCAAACCAUAUGUUCUUAAAUGGGUCUAGCAAGGUUGUUUCACUUUUUAUCCAGCAAGGCAAGAAAGGAACCAAUCAAGAUGUCAUGCUUGUUUGGGAGUUUAACUUCUUUCUUUGUAUUAAAACAAUUAGAUCGAAUAUUAUUAUUGAUAUUGUUUCAAACUUUCAAUUUUAUUUAGUGGCUUCAUAAUGUUAGAUAAUCUAAGACAAGUUGUAGAUAGAGAACAUGUCAUGUGAUGUCAAGCCUAUGAUAAUAUUGUGUUAUAAACUUUUGGCAAUAAAUAUUGUUUUUGAUUACGUAGUAGGUUUUUUACACUAUUUUUUAAGCUCAAAAUGUCAAUGUUUUUCACUACCACCUUAUUUUCCUUAUUCUACAAUGUUUAUGGAACCUCUGCAAGUUAGGUUCAAUCCGCUAUAUCCUAAAGUUCUUACAAAUGGAAGUUAGGAUUGCGUUAUUUUUGUAAUAUCUUCUAAUUUUAAGUGUUUUAGCAAUAAUCAUCUGCCUAUUUUGUAAGUUCAAAUUGUUUAAUGUAGCUAUGCUAAAUUUUUAUUCUCAUAGACUAUCCUAUAGCUUCCAUUGCUUGUCAUGCCCAAGGAGAAAUUUUAGUUGUAGCUAUAGCUGUAGGCCACAAGGUUAGAAAUUUCAAACAUUUUUGUUGACUUUGUGAUAUGUAAUAGCUAUACAUGUGGCGCUACAACAUGAGAGGAGAAACUUCCUCACCAACAAUUAUCCUUGAGACGCCACUGUUCACUCUGAGCUGUAGUUAUUUCGUUUCGAAAGUGCCCAAAAACUAUAGACGUUGUAGCUUGUUACCGACUAAUGAUUGUAUUCAGUUUUCAUUGUUGCACAUAUUCAAUCAAUUGAUGCACUUUACAUUAAGAUUCUUCAUUUUGUAAUCAUUCUUUAUUGCAUUGUCAUUUUAUAGAUUGUGAUUUUAGGUACAAUAAAAGUAUAAAUCACAAAAAAACAAAAGGGUAAAUUUUCUGUAGUAUUAUGCUUCUACUUAUUUUAUGAUUUGGUGCAUUUAAACUUUAUGAGCUAAGUUGCAAAUUUAUUUAGUUUAAUUUGUUCUUAGGAUGCAAAUAUCACAUACCUUGGCUACUUAAACAUAUGGCAUAAGAAAGAAUUAAAAAAAGUCGACGCUUAUUAUGGACGGA
This 1545-nucleotide long non-coding RNA is filed under the name Olea europaea subsp. europaea. The record is from RNAcentral. Lineage: Eukaryota; Viridiplantae; Streptophyta; Magnoliopsida; Lamiales; Oleaceae.